GACGAACGCUGGCGGCGUGCUUAACACAUGCAAGUCGAACGGAAAGGUCCUGCUUUUGUGGGGUGCUCGAGUGGCGAACGGGUGAGUAACACGUGAGUAACCUGCCCUUGACUUUGGGAUAACUUCAGGAAACUGGGGCUAAUACCGGAUAGGAGCUCCCGCUGCAUGGUGGGGGUUGGAAAGUUUCGGCGGUUGGGGAUGGACUCGCGGCUUAUCAGCUUGUUGGUGGGGUAGUGGCUUACCAAGGCUUUGACGGGUAGCCGGCCUGAGAGGGUGACCGGCCACAUUGGGACUGAGAUACGGCCCAGACUCCUACGGGAGGCAGCAGUGGGGAAUAUUGCACAAUGGGCGGAAGCCUGAUGCAGCAACGCCGCGUGCGGGAUGACGGCCUUCGGGUUGUAAACCGCUUUCGCCUGUGACGAAGCGUGAGUGACGGUAAUGGGUAAAGAAGCACCGGCUAACUACGUG
This 468-nucleotide ribosomal RNA is filed under the name uncultured bacterium. RNAcentral describes it as "partial 16S ribosomal RNA". It matches the Rfam family "Bacterial small subunit ribosomal RNA", at positions 28 to 507 of the family's 1533-position model. The record is from RNAcentral.